This 253-nucleotide ribosomal RNA is filed under the name uncultured bacterium. Its description in RNAcentral is "partial 16S ribosomal RNA". It matches the Rfam family "Bacterial small subunit ribosomal RNA", at positions 524 to 776 of the family's 1533-position model. The record is from RNAcentral.
UACGGGGGGGGCAAGCGUUGUUCGGAAUUACUGGGCGUAAAGGGCUCGUAGGUGGCCAACUAAGUCAGACGUGAAAUCCCCAGGCUUAACCUGGGAACUGCGUCUGAUACUGGAUGGCUUGAAUUCGGGAGAGGGAUGCAGAAUUCCAGGUGUAGCGGUGAAAUGCGUAGAGAUGUGGAGGAACACCAGUGGCGAAGGCGACUUUUUGGCCUGUAACUGACGCUGAGGCGCGAAAGCGUGGGGAGCAAACAGG